AUUGAACGCUGGCGGCAGGCCUAACACAUGCAAGUCGAGCGGAUGAAGGGAGCUUGCUCCUGGAUUCAGCGGCGGACGGGUGAGUAAUGCCUAGGAAUCUGCCUGGUAGUGGGGGAUAACGUCCGGAAACGGGCGCUAAUACCGCAUACGUCCUGAGGGAGAAAGUGGGGGAUCUUCGGACCUCACGCUAUCAGAUGAGCCUAGGUCGGAUUAGCUAGUUGGUGGGGUAAAGGCCUACCAAGGCGACGAUCCGUAACUGGUCUGAGAGGAUGAUCAGUCACACUUGAACUGAGACACGGUCCAGACUCCUACGGGAGGCAGCAGUGGGGAAUAUUGGACAAUGGGGGAAAGCCUGAUCCAGCCAUGCCGCGUGUGUGGAGAAAGUCUUCGGAUUGUAAAGCACUUUAAGUUGGGGGGAAGGGCAGUAAGUUAAUACCUUGCUGUUUUGACGUUACCAACAGAAUAAGCACCGGCUAACUUCGUG
Molecule: ribosomal RNA, 484 nt
Filed under: uncultured bacterium
Lineage: Bacteria
Description: partial 16S ribosomal RNA
Rfam family: Bacterial small subunit ribosomal RNA
Source: RNAcentral